This 83-nucleotide transfer RNA is filed under the name Mariniblastus fucicola. Its description in RNAcentral is "tRNA-Tyr". It matches the Rfam family "tRNA". From Rfam's summary of the family: Transfer RNA (tRNA) molecules are approximately 80 nucleotides in length. The record is from RNAcentral. Lineage: Bacteria; Pseudomonadati; Planctomycetota; Planctomycetia; Pirellulales; Pirellulaceae.
GGGGGGGUACCGAAGCGGUCAAACGGGACAGACUGUAAAUCUGUUGGCUCUGCCUUCGCAGGUUCGAAUCCUGCUCCCCCCAC